This 497-nucleotide ribosomal RNA is filed under the name uncultured bacterium. RNAcentral describes it as "partial 16S ribosomal RNA". It matches the Rfam family "Bacterial small subunit ribosomal RNA", at positions 28 to 507 of the family's 1533-position model. The record is from RNAcentral.
GACGAACGCUGGCGGCGUACCUAAUACAUGCAAGUAGAACGCUGAAGAGAGGAGCUUGCUCUUCUUGGAUGAGUUGCGAACGGGUGAGUAACGCGUAGGUAACCUGCCUUGUAGCGGGGGAUAACUAUUGGAAACGAUAGCUAAUAACGCAUAACAAUGGAUGACACAUGUCAUUUAUUUGAAAGGGGCAAUUGCUCCACUACAAGAUGGACCUGCGUUGUAUUAGCUAGUAGGUGAGGUAAUGGCUCACCUAGGCGACGAUACAUAGCCGACCUGAGAGGGUGAUCGGCCACACUGGGACUGAGACACGGCCCAGACUCCUACGGGAGGCAGCAGUAGGGAAUCUUCGGCAAUGGGGGCAACCCUGACCGAGCAACGCCGCGUGAGUGAAGAAGGUUUUCGGAUCGUAAAGCUCUGUUGUAAGUCAAGAACGGGUGUGAGAGUGGAAAGUUCACACUGUGACGGUAGCUUACCAGAAAGGGACGGCUAACUACGUG